GGGUACAGUGAACUUGCCGUGAGGAGUGGAAUAUCCAACGUUUCGGAUUCAAUCCUUUAUUAACGGCUGUGUGGUAAGUAGCUUGC
Long non-coding RNA from Octopus sinensis (East Asian common octopus), 86 nucleotides. RefSeq lists it as uncharacterized. Lineage: Eukaryota; Metazoa; Mollusca; Cephalopoda; Octopoda; Octopodidae. The transcript has 3 exons. The record is from RefSeq and is a predicted model, not a curated record.